This is a long non-coding RNA of Corvus moneduloides (New Caledonian crow), 321 nucleotides long. Lineage: Eukaryota; Metazoa; Chordata; Aves; Passeriformes; Corvidae. The record is from Ensembl.
AUGGAAAGCAGUUCUCAGCCCAUCCGUAGCUCGUUGGAGAGAUGCCUGCUCCAAGCUGAGAUGGAUGGCUUCCUCCGUAAUGAAAACAGAGUGAGGAGCAAGACUGCACAAGCAAGACCUGCUUCUGUCUCAUCCCUGUGCAGGAGGAACGAUACUUGCAGGGGGGAGUUUUGGCCCUCUGUCUCACAGCCAGCUCUGAGGACUGUCCUGAAGGCUACUCCUCACACCAAGCGUCUUACAAGAGUGAUUAAACUGCAUGACUUAGGCUAUGGCAUCCGGAAAACAAGCAAAUACACAAUGUGCCUGCAAUUCAAAUUUUGA